AUGCAGUCGACGAUGAACCACUUCGGUGGGGAUUAGUGGCGAACGGGUGAGUAACACGUGGGCAAUCUGCCCUGCACUCUGGGACAAGCCCUGGAAACGGGGUCUAAUACCGGAUAUUGACCUUCACGGGCAUCUGUGAGGUUCGAAAGCUCCGGCGGUGCAGGAUGAGCCCGCGGCCUAUCAGCUUGUUGGUGAGGUAAUGGCUCACCAAGGCGACGACGGGUAGCCGGCCUGAGAGGGCGACCGGCCACACUGGGACUGAGACACGGCCCAGACUCCUACGGGAGGCAGCAGUGGGGAAUAUUGCACAAUGGGCGAAAGCCUGAUGCAGCGACGCCGCGUGAGGGAUGACGGCCUUCGGGUUGUAAACCUCUUUCAGCAGGGAAGAAGCGAAAGUGACGGUACCUGCAGAAGAAGCGCCGGCUAACUACGUGCCAGCAGCCGCGGUAAUACGUAGGGCGCAAGCGUUGUCCGGAAUUAUUGGGCGUAAAGAGCUCGUAGGCGGCUUGUCACGUCGGUUGUGAAAGCCCGGGGCUUAACCCCGGGUCUGCAGUCGAUACGGGCAGGCUAGAGUUCGGUAGGGGAGAUCGGAAUUCCUGGUGUAGCGGUGAAAUGCGCAGAUAUCAGGAGGAACACCGGUGGCGAAGGCGGAUCUCUGGGCCGAUACUGACGCUGAGGAGCGAAAGCGUGGGGAGCGAACAGGAUUAGAUACCCCUGGUAGUCCACGCCGUAAACGGUGGGCACUAGGUGUGGGCAACAUUCCACGUUGUCCGUGCCGCAGCUAACGCAUUAAGUGCCCCGCCUGGGGGA
Molecule: ribosomal RNA, 810 nt
Filed under: Streptomyces sp.
Lineage: Bacteria; Bacillati; Actinomycetota; Actinomycetes; Kitasatosporales; Streptomycetaceae
Description: bacterial SSU rRNA
Rfam family: Bacterial small subunit ribosomal RNA
Source: RNAcentral